GUGGGGAAUCUUAGACAAUGGGGGAAACCCUGAUCUAGCCAUGCCGCGUGAGCGAUGAAGGCCUUAGGGUUGUAAAGCUCUUUCAGCUGGGAAGAUAAUGACGGUACCAGCAGAAGAAGCCCCGGCUAACUCCGUGCCAGCAGCCGCGGUAAUACGGAGGGGGCUAGCGUUGUUCGGAAUUACUGGGCGUAAAGCGCGCGUAGGCGGACCAGAAAGUUGGAGGUGAGAUCCCAGGGCUCAACCUUGGAACUGCAUUCAAAACUCCUGGUCUGGAGUUCGGGAGAGGUGAGUGGAAUUCCGAGUGUAGGGGUGAAAUUCGUAGAUAUUCGGAGGAACACCAGUGGCGAAGGCGGCUCACUGGCUCGAUACUGACGCUGAGGUGCGAAAGCGUGGGGAGCAAACAGGAUUAGAAACCCCUGUAGUCC
This 425-nucleotide ribosomal RNA is filed under the name uncultured bacterium. RNAcentral describes it as "partial 16S ribosomal RNA". It matches the Rfam family "Bacterial small subunit ribosomal RNA", at positions 354 to 796 of the family's 1533-position model. The record is from RNAcentral.